RNAcentral lists this ribosomal RNA (490 nucleotides) under uncultured bacterium. RNAcentral's name for it is "partial 16S ribosomal RNA". It matches the Rfam family "Bacterial small subunit ribosomal RNA", at positions 28 to 507 of the family's 1533-position model. The record is from RNAcentral.
GAUGAACGCUAGCGGCAGGCCUAAUACAUGCAAGUCGAACGGGAUCCAGAUCAAAGCUUGCUUUGGUCUGGUGAGAGUGGCGCACGGGUGCGUAACGCGUGAGCAACCUACCCUUGUCAGGGGGAUAGCCCGGCGAAAGUCGGAUUAAUACCGCAUGACAUCAUUGAGAGGCAUCUUUCGAUGAUCAAAGAUUUAUCGGACAAGGAUGGGCUCGCGUGACAUUAGCUAGUUGGUAAGGUAACGGCUUACCAAGGCUGCGAUGUCUAGGGGCUCUGAGAGGAGAAUCCCCCACACUGGUACUGAGACACGGACCAGACUCCUACGGGAGGCAGCAGUAAGGAAUAUUGGUCAAUGGACGGAAGUCUGAACCAGCCGUGCCGCGUGCAGGAGGACGGCCCUAUGGGUUGUAAACUGCUUUUAUACGGGAACAAACGUCGGUACGUGUACCGGUCUGAGUGUACCGUAAGAAUAAGGAUCGGCUAACUCCGUG